Molecule: non-coding RNA, 77 nt
Organism: Paramuricea clavata
Lineage: Eukaryota; Metazoa; Cnidaria; Anthozoa; Malacalcyonacea; Plexauridae
Source: the annotation of a GenBank genome assembly
GAGACCUUAUAGCUCAAUGGUUAGAGCGGCUGUCUUGUUGUCAGAAGGCGAUAUGGUUCAAUUCCCGUUAGGGCUCA